GAUGAAGAACACAGCGAAAUGCGAUAAGUAGUGUGAAUUUCAGAAUUCAGUGAAUCAUCGAAUCUUUGAACGCACAUUGCGCCCUUUGGUAUUCCAAAGGGCAUGCCUGUUCGAGCGUCAUUUGUACCCUCAAGCUUUGCUUGGUGUUGGGCGUCUUGUCUCUAGCUUUGCUGGAGACUCGCCUUAAAGUAAUUGGCAGCCGGCCUACUGGUUUCGGAGCGCAGCACAAGUCGCACUCUCUAUCAGCAAAGGUCUAGCAUCCAUUAAGCCUUUUUUUCAACUUUUGACCUCGGAUCAGGUAGGGAUACCCGCUGAACUUAAGCAUAUCAAUAAGCGGAGGA
Molecule: unclassified non-coding RNA, 341 nt
Filed under: soil metagenome
Description: partial contains 5.8S ribosomal RNA, internal transcribed spacer 2, and large subunit ribosomal RNA
Rfam family: 5.8S ribosomal RNA (bases 1-120)
Source: RNAcentral